GCUAGCGUUGUUCGGAAUUACUGGGCGUAAAGCGCGCGUAGGCGGUUACUCAAGUCAGAGGUGAAAGCCCGGGGCUCAACCCCGGAACUGCCUUUGAAACUGGGUGACUAGAAUCUUGGAGAGGUCAGUGGAAUUCCGAGUGUAGAGGUGAAAUUCGUAGAUAUUCGGAAGAACACCAGU
This 180-nucleotide ribosomal RNA is filed under the name uncultured Sphingobium sp. Its description in RNAcentral is "partial 16S ribosomal RNA". It matches the Rfam family "Bacterial small subunit ribosomal RNA", at positions 534 to 713 of the family's 1533-position model. The record is from RNAcentral. Lineage: Bacteria; Pseudomonadati; Pseudomonadota; Alphaproteobacteria; Sphingomonadales; Sphingobiaceae.